GAUGAACGCUGGCGGCGUGCCUAAUACAUGCAAGUCGAACGCACAGCGAAAGGUGCUUGCACCUUUCAAGUGAGUGGCGAACGGGUGAGUAACACGUGGACAACCUGCCUCAAGGCUGGGGAUAACAUUUGGAAACAGAUGCUAAUACCGAAUAAAACUUAGUGUCGCAUGACACAAAGUUAAAAGGAGCUUCGGCGUCACCUAGAGAUGGAUCCGCGGUGCAUUAGUUAGUUGGUGGGGUAAAGGCCUACCAAGACAAUGAUGCAUAGCCGAGUUGAGAGACUGAUCGGCCACAUUGGGACUGAGACACGGCCCAAACUCCUACGGGAGGCUGCAGUAGGGAAUCUUCCACAAUGGGCGAAAGCCUGAUGGAGCAACGCCGCGUGUGUGAUGAAGGCUUUCGGGUCGUAAAGCACUGUUGUAUGGGAAGAACAGCUAGAAUAGGAAAUGAUUUUAGUUUGACGGUACCAUACCAGAAAGGGACGGCUAAAUACGUG
Molecule: ribosomal RNA, 497 nt
Filed under: uncultured bacterium
Lineage: Bacteria
Description: partial 16S ribosomal RNA
Rfam family: Bacterial small subunit ribosomal RNA
Source: RNAcentral